This is a long non-coding RNA of Juglans microcarpa x Juglans regia, 1501 nucleotides long. RefSeq lists it as uncharacterized. The record is from RefSeq and is a predicted model, not a curated record. NCBI's taxonomy places the organism in Eukaryota, Viridiplantae, Streptophyta, Magnoliopsida, Fagales, Juglandaceae. The transcript has 3 exons.
CUUUGAGCUUGUAGGUAUGAUUUUGAAUUUUUGUCUUGUGCAAACUUGGGGAUGGUCGCAUAUUUAGGGUUUUUGUUUUAUUUUUCUCUGUUCGGCAACUCGCAGCACUUGUUGGUCCCCUCAGUUCAAAAUGGUUUCUUUCCAUUUUAUUCUUCAUUUAUAAUUGAAUAUAACAAUAACCCAUUUCAAAUUAUGGUUCAAAAACCAAGUUAUUUGAUUUUGUUGUAUUAAUCGAGGUGCAAGAGACGUUGGUGGAUUUGUUAGGCAUGGUGGUACAACGUCCAUGCCUGUCGAUGGCCUUGUGCUAUAAUUCCGACAUCAAGCCUGACGUCUUCUGCUCCGCCAUAUCCAACCUCCCCUAUAUUUCUUUGGCUCCUUUGUUGUAGAGCACCUGUCAGUUAUUUAUGUUUCAAGCUACUAAAGGCAAGUUUUGAUGAGGUCAACCAGCACUGUCCUAUAGGUAAUUGUACUUAAUCAAUAUCCUGGUGAAGCACCUUAUUUGUGUAAGCAUCUUUAGUAGUUAUCUUUUAUUUAAGGAUAAGCAUCUUUAAUUGUUCAAAACUCAUUCAUUUUAGCCAUUUUGCCAAUUCUUCUUGAAAUGACCACAUUUCCAAGAAGAUUAAAUCCUUCACAAUUCACAUAUAAGUUUCUCACUGUGCUGUUGGGGGUUUAAUCCUUGAGGAUUGGGGCUUUUCCCCGUUUCGAUUAGGUGUUGUAUUUGAGUCUUUGGAAUAAGAUUGGAUGACCGAAUUUUUCAUUCGAGAAAUGAUAUUCGCAGUCGUGGAGUACGCAAGUGCCACACAUUCUAUUUGAAAAAAGUGAGUAAAUAUGAGACCCACUUGAAAAAAAUUAUUUUUUUUAAUAGUGGAUCUUACUCUUUUUCAAAGCGACUGCACGAUACUUGCACACUCUACAACUAUACGUCGCAUUACUCUUUUCAUUCGCAUUUUGGGUUUGUGACACAAGUGAAUUAUGGAUGUUGUGGUUAGGAUGUAAUUUAACUUUUCUAGUACUGUUAAUUAGAAUUAACAUGACCCUUUUAUUUUAUUUCCGCUGCGAAUUAUAGUUGUACACCAUUUAUUUUAAGCAUGUGUGCAUACACUUGUAGUCACAAUGAGUGAGGGGUGUAUGACCCGUGUGGCCAACAUCCAUUGCGGUCCUUGCCGAGACAAGGGCUGGGGUGUCAUAAACACCUCGAAUUUGGCCAUUUUAUCUGUUCCACUGAAUUCAGCCUAAUGUGUGAUAUUCUAUUUUUUUUUCUCUUAUGUAAGAUUAUUUAUAGCGAGAUACAUUCGCUGCAAAUAGCUUUUUUCAUUACAACAAAAUAGCUAUUUGCAAUGAAAGUAUUUCAUUGUAAAUAAACAUACUCUUUUGCAACCAAUGUACAUUUAGUUGUAAAUAAACAUACUCUUCAACAAAUGUACACAAAUGUACAAAUUAUCGUGAAGAUAGUAGCAACGGCGAUAAAUUUAUUUGCAACAAUAAAAUGAGUUAUGUGACU